This 440-nucleotide ribosomal RNA is filed under the name uncultured bacterium. RNAcentral describes it as "partial 16S ribosomal RNA". It matches the Rfam family "Bacterial small subunit ribosomal RNA", at positions 338 to 795 of the family's 1533-position model. The record is from RNAcentral.
CCUACGGGUGGCAGCAGUGGGGAAUAUUGGUCAAUGGGGGAAACCCUUAACCAGCGACGCCGCGUGAGGGAUGAAGGUUUUCGGAUUGUAAACCUCUUUUUGUGGGGACGAUAAUGACGGUACCUACGGAGUAAGCCACGGCUAACUACGUGCCAGCAGCCGCGGUAAUACGGAGGGCGCAAGCGUUAUUCGGAAUUACUGGGUGUAAAGGGAGCGUAGGCGGGAUGUCAAGUCAGAAGUGAAAAGUAUGGGCUCAACGCAGAACCUGCUUUUGAAACUGGUAUUCUAGAGUUGAGGAGAGGCAUGCGGAAUUCGUGGUGUAGCGGUGAAAUGCGUAGAUAUUAGGAGGAACACCGAUUGCGAAGGCGGCAUGCUGGGUCUUUACUGACGCUGAGGCACGAAAGCGUGGGGAGCGAACAGGAUUAGAUACCCUAGUAGUC